Agelaius phoeniceus (red-winged blackbird) is the source of this 669-nucleotide non-coding RNA. The record is from RefSeq and is a predicted model, not a curated record. Lineage: Eukaryota; Metazoa; Chordata; Aves; Passeriformes; Icteridae.
UGUCGAGCAGCUGUGUUGAACUUUAUUUAUUAAAUAGCAGCGCCGCGGUUUUUUCCUUUUCUGCGCCUACUGACAUCCUCACAACACUUGAGACGGCUGUUCAAUUUACGUGUCUCGGCAGAAAAUAAAAGCUAGGAAAGAAGAUACAAUAUUCUUCCUUCAAGACAGCACAGGCCUAUAGAAAAUACUUUAAAGUUUAUCCUGGAAGAUGAGCUUCAUCAAAUAGAUGCAUAUUCUGUAGAAGAGAGAAUGCCUUUUGCUAGACAUCUGAAUGAAGUCCAGAGGAUCAUCUCUACACAAUGACUCUCAGAUGCAAAGGAAAAUCCUCGACCUCUUCUUUUAGCACCUCUUAAAAGGUUUGGACUUCUGGGAUGUUCUUCAUAUCAACCUGCAGAAUGGCCACAGCUUGGAGGGACACCUGCCCUUUUACCACCAGCCAUUCAUGUUAAACCAGUGCAGCACCAAUGGGGCGCUAAGAAGACACUGACAGCACUGAGAAUGUGGAAGUCCUGCAACCACCAUCGCACCCUCUGUCACCUGCAAGAAAUGAAAAAUUUAAGAAGGCUUUUCCUUUAAAACAAAUGCUCAUGAAUGUCACUGCUGCACCUUUGUGAUUUUAAAUUCAAGUUGUAAAGAGUCACAGAAUAAAGUUGUGUGUUUUACACAGUU